Long non-coding RNA from Microcebus murinus (gray mouse lemur), 582 nucleotides. RefSeq lists it as uncharacterized. Lineage: Eukaryota; Metazoa; Chordata; Mammalia; Primates; Cheirogaleidae. The record is from RefSeq and is a predicted model, not a curated record.
CCUGCAGUCUUCAGUCCAGUAACAUGCUGUACAGCUCCUCAUAGAGUUCCAGUGCCUAAGAGAAUGGAAGGGAGCCCGACCGCCUUCAUCACUCAUUAGCCUCCUCGGGAAGUGACCGGACUCUGGAAGAAUGGCUAUCCUCUACUUAAGAGAUUAGCAAGCACUGGCAUUACCAACCUUAGCAAGGACUUCUGUGCCACAGAAUGGAUGAGAGCUCCACAUCCCUGCACUUUAAAGACCAUGUCAAUGUUUGUCCUUUGAUGGAAAAUCAAGGACUGUUUAAGCCAAGUCCAGAGGGACACCCUGCAAUGUUUUGCUCUGUGUAAAUCCUUCAGCACCUUUGUACUUUCAGGCUGUGUGGUCAGGGAACCACAAUAAUGACUGAGAUUGAAUAGUUUUGUCCCUGGUGGAAUGAAGGCAUAGGGUCAAACCUGAUCUGAUUUAAAGACAGUAAUGUAAAUUUUCUUGCACAUUCAAGUUUAUGGAGCAAAAUUCAGACCCACCACCCAAUGUUUGUUUCUUUUAACUUUUUUUUUUUCUUUUUUGAGACAGAGUCUCACUUUGUGGGUUGGACUAGAGUGC